RNAcentral lists this small RNA (141 nucleotides) under Enterobacter asburiae. RNAcentral's name for it is "RtT sRNA". It matches the Rfam family "RtT RNA". From Rfam's summary of the family: This family represents a bacterial cis-regulatory element known as RtT RNA. The exact function of RtT is unknown although it is thought that it may be involved in changing the cellular response in relation to amino acid starvation. The record is from RNAcentral. Lineage: Bacteria; Pseudomonadati; Pseudomonadota; Gammaproteobacteria; Enterobacterales; Enterobacteriaceae.
UAUAUUCUCCGAAAAGGGGGGAUGAGAACCCCCGACCGGGGUUCGACAACUGGCGACAGCCAGUAGGACAGACUGAGAGCGCAGCAGCGAACAGGCUGCCCGUAGGGCGAGCGAAGCGAGUCAAUCCCCCCCUCACCGCCA